This 253-nucleotide ribosomal RNA is filed under the name uncultured bacterium. RNAcentral's name for it is "partial 16S ribosomal RNA". It matches the Rfam family "Bacterial small subunit ribosomal RNA", at positions 524 to 776 of the family's 1533-position model. The record is from RNAcentral.
UACGGAGGGGGCGAGCGUUGUUCGGAAUCAUUGGGCGUAAAGGGCGCGUAGGUGGUUCUGUAUGUCUACCGUGAAAGCGUACGGCUCAACCGUAUUUUGUCGGUAGAAACUGCAGGACUUGAGGCUGGGAGGGGCUGGUGGAAUUCCCUGUGUAGCGGUGAAAUGCGUAGAGAUAGGGGAGAACACUCGUGGCGAAGGCGGCCAGCUAGACCAGUUCUGACACUGAGGCGCGACAGCGUGGGGAGCAAACAGG